GAUGAACGCUGGCGGCGUGCCUAAUACAUGCAAGUCGAGCGAACAGAUAAGGAGCUUGCUCCUUUGACGUUAGCGGCGGACGGGUGAGUAACACGUGGGUAACCUACCUAUAAGACUGGGAUAACUUCGGGAAACCGGAGCUAAUACCGGAUAACAUUUGGAACCGCAUGGUUCUAAAGUGAAAGAUGGUUUUGCUAUCACUUAUAGAUGGACCCGCGCCGUAUUAGCUAGUUGGUAAGGUAACGGCUUACCAAGGCAACGAUACGUAGCCGACCUGAGAGGGUGAUCGGCCACACUGGAACUGAGACACGGUCCAGACUCCUACGGGAGGCAGCAGUAGGGAAGCUUCCGCAAUGGGCGAAAGCCUGACGGAGCAACGCCGCGUGAGUGAUGAAGGGUUUCGGCUCGUAAAACUCUGUUAUUAGGGAAGAACAAACGUGUAAGUAACUGUGCACGUCUUGACGGUACCUAAUCAGAAAGCCACGGCUAACUACGUG
Molecule: ribosomal RNA, 497 nt
Filed under: uncultured bacterium
Lineage: Bacteria
Description: partial 16S ribosomal RNA
Rfam family: Bacterial small subunit ribosomal RNA
Source: RNAcentral